Long non-coding RNA from Neofelis nebulosa (Clouded leopard), 7991 nucleotides. RefSeq lists it as uncharacterized. The transcript has 4 exons. The record is from RefSeq and is a predicted model, not a curated record. Lineage: Eukaryota; Metazoa; Chordata; Mammalia; Carnivora; Felidae.
CCCACCCCGGAAGUCCUUCACGAAAUUCCUCCUCCUGACUCCCGGUACUUUUCAGCUGCCGCCUUCCUCUCAUCCCAUCCCACACGUCCUCCAUCCGUUCAGAAUCCGAUGUCGGUCCCCGGCCCGUCUUUACGCCACCGCGGGAAGAGGAAAACUCCUCGAACCCGCUGUACCAGCGCCAAGCUGCCUGCCCCGGGGCUGCUUCCCCGACGCCCAGGGCGCGGGUUGAGUCGGAACCCGGACGCCAGCUAGAAUUCCCGAAUCCGAGGGGACCUCCGCCCCUGCCUCGCUGGGCUCUGACCACGCCCCUUCCUAAGCCCCGCCCAGGGCUUGCGGGGAGGUUUCCGUGGCGACAGUAAACAAUACUCAAGAGCUGCCGGAGCCGCCGCAGCCCUGCUCCCCCAGCCCACGCUCCUGCAAAUAAGGUGAUCGAGAAUGACAGCGAAGUUGUUAUGAACUGAAACCGGGACACAUGGGGGCCCAGGUGGGGGCCAGGCCUGGGAGGGCCAGCCUGGGGAUCCAGGACACGUGGGCUGUGGUGCGAGGGUCUGCAACCCCCGGAAGAGGCAGCAGCAACUGGAGAACCAGGGAUUGAGAUCUAAGGGAGCAGACGUGCAGGUGGAGCCGGAUGUUGCGUGGGCCCACGCAGCAGAGGUGGGAUAAGACACCGGGAGCAAGAGGGACUCGUUCAAGCCAGACCUUGUAGUGUUUUCCUAGGAAGGAGCAGGCAACCUGCCCGGGCGGGGGCUCUCCCAGGCUAGGAGUAUGAGCGGCGGACAAAAAAAAAUCAAUAGGCAUGGAAAGAAGCGGGAAGAUAUUACCCAUAAUCAAGGGGAAAAUCUAUCAGGAGAAGCAGAUCGCUAAGUAGCAGAGAUGAGGCAAUUAAUGGACAAAGACACAGAAACAGUUAUAAAUAUCCUCUGUGUACUCAAGAAUGCAGAGGAUCGGGAGUGAAAAAGAAGAUACUUUAAAAAGAAAGACUAGAUGGGAUUUACAGCAGAGUGGAUAUUAGAGAGUAAAGAUCAGAGAAGGCAAAUACAGAGACGGGAGAAAAGAACUUCAAGGACUUGUCGGACAAUAGCAGAUGGUCCAGCGUUCAUGUCAUUGAAGUCCCAGAAUGAGAAGAGGCAGGAAAAACUUCAAAGAAUAAUGUCCUGAAAUAUUCUGAAUUUGACAGAAGCCAACAGAUCGAGGUUCAGUGAACCUGAAGCACAAGGAAACAUAAAGAAAACCACACCGAGGCACGUCCGAUUAAUAAUUACUUUAAAUGUAAAUGGCCUAAAGACUGCAAACAAAAGGCAGGUAUUAUCAGACUGGGUAAAAAAGCAAGACCCGAAAUAUGCCCUCCAUAAGAACCACGCUUUAAAUAUAAAGACACGGCUGGUUAAAAGUGCAAGAAUGAAAGAGAUAUACCAGCCAAGCACUCCAUAAUACACACAUGAAGCAGCUGUGUCAGUAUCAGACAGAGAAGACCGCAAAAGGACUAUUAGCGGGGUGAUAGGGAAACAUUUCAUAAUAUGCUGCAUUCAGGGGAGGACAGGACAUUCCUGAACAUGCACGCACUUAAAUAACAGGACUUCGAAACGCAUGAGGCAGAAACUGAUAGAAUUGCCAGGGGAAGUAGACCACCAUUUAUGCACAUCCUAUUUGGAAUGUAUUUAUAAAUAAUCCACCAUUAUAGUUAGAAAUGUUCACAUCCCUCUCUCAGUAGUUGAUAACUGUAGAUAAAAUCGGUAGGGACACAGAAGGUUUAGCAAUGCUGUAAACAAUGUUGACCUAAUUACCAUUUUUUAAAAGACUCCACCCAAAAGCAAGAGUUCUCAACGGUUCCUCUUUCUCUGUGGUUCCCUCCCUGGCUGAGGAACAGCAUUCUUACUCUCUCCUGAUUCCCGAGUAAAUCCGCAGGGGACAUGCUUGCUGUGUACAUGAGAACCUACCGUAUUCUGUGCUCCAAUGGAGUGUUUGUGGACCUCCCUGGACAAAAGGCUGACCCGGCGACCCUGUGCCUCCUGAAAGAAAGGGGGAAUCGCAGAGUGGCAGUCUCAGACCGUGCUGGAAAAGCACCCAGCUGAGACAGAUCCAUGCAUCACUCUGGGGCUUUGGGAUUUAGUAUCCUGGUUUAACUGGGGAUAUAGAACUGAUAAAAAUACCUUACCGAAAAGGUAAGCCAGGGCCAUGUGGAAAACCAGAUCCUUCGUCAAGGGCUCAGCUGGAGAAAAUCAAACACGUUAUUGAAAAAGAUCAGAAAACAAGCCAUCAUUUUUUCAAAGGGACACUCACUCUGUCAUAUUCCCAUACCUCCAGCAAGGAGGGAAGGUGACCUUGAGAUAGAGAGUUGGCCCCUGUAGGGCUUUGUACCAGAUCUGAGAGAGGUGAAUGAGUUUGUCGUUUCAUUAAGCUCCGUGGUCCCCCUGCAACUUUUCUGACUUUGAUUCUGUCGCCUACAGUUUUUCUCUACAUUCUGCUGUUUUUUUUUUUUUUUUCUUCUGUUCCUCUAGCUAAUGAGUUCCAAUUCCCAUUUGCUUUUACCUUUGAAGGAGUCCAGUGUUUAGAGCAAAGUGUUCCUCAGGAUUUGGGGGACUCCUACUGUUUUGUCUAGCCCGUUUAGGGAAAUCUGUCUCGCCGAGUGAUCUAUAAUUAUUCCGUAUGGGGAUGAUUUGCUGGUAGCUUCAGAAACUGAAGUGUAACGCAGAAGUGAUACUUUGGCUUCUCGCCAUUCCUCACCUGGCGGGGACAUACGGCCUCACUAGACAAACUGCAAUAUUGCCAAACUGGGGUCACAUAUUUAGGGAAUUUGUCGUGGAAGUCCACAAAGUGUUAGAAUGCCGGAGUUAGCCAAUUUCUCGGAUGAAAUAGCCACCAGCAACAACAACAACAACAACAAAGCAACAAUUUGGGGGACAAGUGACAUAUUUUCCACGGUGGAUUCCAGCUUUUUCAAGAGCGGGCAAAUCCUCUGAUAGACCAACCGACGGAUAAUACUCUAGACCCUUGUGUCGGAUCCCUAGAAUCCGCAGGAAGCUUUUGAACCAUUGAAAUUGGUCACGGUCUCUCCCCACGCUGUGAGGAUUCCAAAUUUUGAAAAAGCUUUCCACGUGAUUUACCAUGGAAACCAAGACACUGACUGCUGGCAGAAUUGAGCUCUGAAGCUGGCAUUUGACUCUAGACCGAUAGCAUUAUUUCUCAGUUCUUCUGGAUGCCUCCACGCUGUGGUGGUAGCAGCCACACUUACGCAAAGAGCUCAAGCCUUUCUUUGGAUCGUUUGACUUCUGUGUAUGUCCUGGACCGUCUUUUAAGUGCAGAAGCACUGCAGGUGCACGAUCAGACCAGUAAUGUGUCAUCAACAAAAUCAUCUGAGUCAAACAUCUGAGAGGAAUUUUAAAGGCACUAGACUCUUACCAAUGACGACCAAACAGGUGACCUUAUCCAAAAUGUAUCAGAGACGUGCUGUCUGUUGGCAGAAUUCUUUUCGGGCCACUGCCAAGGUGAGCACAGGAGACACUUGGUGGCAGUUCAAUUCCACAGAAUUGACACCUGUGGAAAGUAAGAGAUCUUUGUCUCGUUAUGUCUGCGGGAUUUGCAGGUGACCUGACGUCCGCUGUCAUUCGGGAGGCGUGCAAAUCAUGCUGGGAUCUGCCCUGUCCCCUCAGCCCUGCAGACAAGUGGAGUGGAUGAAUCCAACACUGCAAACUUCAUUUAGAAGUCUAUAGGUGAGGGGAUGCCUGGGUGGCUCAGUCGGUCGAGCGUUUGACUCUUGCUUUUGGCUCAGGUCAUGAUCUCAUGGUUGGUGGGAUUGAGCCCCGCAUCAGGCUCUGCUCUCUUUCUGCCCCUCCCCUGUUCGUGCUCUCCCACUCUCUCUCUCUCUCUCUCUCUAAAAAUAAAUAAACAUUAAAAAAAAAAAAAGAUGUCUAUAGGUGAAAAUGGCCUAUAGCACCCCCUCAGAAAGUAUGGUGUCUCUCCCUUUGAACUUAUGAACUUCAGUUUGAUAGGCUGAUGAAUUUGGGUCUGUGCCCAAUUUGGUGAAUCCUCUCAUAAUCAUGUUCAAUACUUAAAAGGGCUGUGAGACCUGAAAUCAUAAGGACCUGGAAGGGCCCAUUGGAGGACAUCGGAGGAGGCCUGCCAUCCUCUGCUGGGGGGAUUUCAUGUACAUAAAGGUGUUCCAGAGGAGGGGUGCCUAGGUGGCUUGGUCAGUUGAGUGGCCAACUCUUGGUUUUGGCUCAGGACAUGAUCCCAGGGGCGUGGGAUCGAGCCCCACAUCGGGCUCUGCGUGGAGCAUGGGGCCUGCUUAAGAUUCUUUCUCUCCCCUCUGCCCCUCUCCCCACUCACAUGCACACUCUCUCUAUAAUGUAAAUAAAUAAGCACAUAAAGAAGUAAGUAAGUAAGUAAAUAAAUAAAUAAAUGAAUGGCAUUCUAGAGGAAAGAUGCCUGUCACCACACUGGGAGGGACCCUUUUACAUGUUUUGAUAUGGUUAUCAAACUGAAAGAAAAAUCCAGUUGGAUUCAGGCUUCUGAUGUGAAGUCAGCAUCUCAGGAGGAAAGGACUGGGGCUCCCACAAGGACUUGAAACAAGUUUUCUAGAAUCACUGACAUUGAUACUGAGCUCAAUAGAAAAGAGCUUGCUUUUUUUUUUUUUUUAAGAAAAGAGCUUUUCUAGUAAAAUUAUUACCAUUAUCAUAAUAUUUGCUUAAUGAUUCAAUCGAGUAGCAUCUAAUCUAGCAGAUAGGAAGGAGCUCCACAGAGCUGUAUGAAACAGAAGACUUUUAUAAGCAGAAGGGAGCAGGAACAAGAAAGUUCUACCAGGCAGAAAAGCAAGUUGCUUAUUACAAGGUCACUUUCCUUUAGGAGAUUGCCAAGGGUCUAUCAGUAAGGUCUGAUUUCUAGAAGAGCCAAAACUCUAAGUUAAGUCUCAGUUUGUUGACAUGGGCUUAGCAUAAGCAAUUCCAUUUAGGGCCUGUUGUUUUUAACAAGUAAAACGAAAAGAUAUUUUUUCCUCCCUUAUGUAAUCAAAUAUUUGCUUUAAGUAAAUGAAGCAUAUCGUUGGUACACACAUUUAAAGACUCUUCUUCCUCAAGUCCAUAUUGUACUGAAUUUUCUAAUUUAUCCCAACGUGAUUCUGAUAAUUACUUUGCUUCCCAUUUCCCCACACAAUCGCUGAAUAUUUCAGUGGCUGCAAAAUGCCAAGAGAAACAGAAAUGGAGAUCGUUAGAAAUUAUGCUAUUACAAUACAAUAGUAACAAAAGGGUAAAUAAAAAUAAGGUUGAAUUUCCUUUCCAAAAGGAAUGAGAUCUUUUCUCCUCCUUUUUCUUAGAACAUUUCAGAGAGAAAACUUGUAUUUGUAAAGAAUUCCUGUGGUGCCUGGCUGACUCCGUUGGAAGAGUGUGUGAUUCUUGAUCUCAGGGUUGUGGGUUUGAGCCCCGUGUUGGGUGUAGAGAUCACUUAAAUAAAUAAGACUUUUUAAAAAAUAAUAAAAUAAAGAUAGAAAGAAUUCCUCUGUCCUUUUGAUACGCAUGCAAAUCUUAUUGGCGGUUAAAUAAGCCUCUUAUCAGAGUUAAAACCCAGGAAUAUUUUUCAGCAGGGCCUGGGAGCCAUCUCUUUUCAAUGUCAACAUCAAGGAAGACAAUGCCCCAUCGCCCUGUCACUGUGGGAAUCUAGCUGAGGCAUCUCACCUACCUGCUCGUCGUAGAGAUAGAGGCCAUUAACUCGCACAGAUGGCCACCCCAAUGACCAGGUGAACGCAGAGUGAGCUCUGAAAGCACGUAGAGUGAGCAGGACUGUUGAGUCUCCUCACCCGACAAGUGCUCAUACCUGGGAACAUGCAAACGGGUUGUAUCUGCUUGGCUUACAGGGAAGCAGGAUGGGGAGGGUGCCCGGCUGGCUCAGUCGGUAGAGCAUGUGACCCUCGAGUUGUAAGUUCAAGCCCCACAUCGUGGUUGUUUGUUGUUUUUUUUUAAUUAAAAAUAAAAUCUUUUUUUUUUUAAAUGGUGGGAUUUCUUUUCUGUCUUAAUAAUUUUAUUUUUUAAAUAGCAGGUCACCUGGGACACAGGCCAGGCUGAGCUCAUGCUUACUCAAAACCAGAACUAUUCCUUUUCGACAUUCGCAGGGAGGGUUUUCUGGGCUGGCAGGUUUUAUUUUUAGAAAUGAAAAUACAACAGUGUAAGGGUCUGUCUUCAGUGUUACUGUAGAGGAUAGUUUUACCCAAUAUUUCACCAGGCCAUAAAACGGAUCCAGGACCGUGUUUCCUUACUGCCCACCACCCAGCCAGGACUAUUUCAGGUCUUCACCCCAUUUCCGGGAGCAAAUUUCCAUGUUAGUGAGGGUAGGACAGGCUGUGGUGCAGUAAUAAGUAAACCCAUACAUCUCAUUCACUUCAUGCAAGUAGUGUUUCUUCCUUGCUCAGAGCAUGGUUUAUCGCAGAUCCGGGCAGGUAGGGGGAUCCCUGGGCCACGCGAUCGAGGGGCUGCUCUAACAACCGCAGGAUGGGAAGCAUACAAACAACAAAUAUCUCUUUCCCACAGUCCUGGAGGUAGGGAAAGUCAACAUCAGGAUGCCAGCAGAUCUGGUGUGGUGGCUGGUGAGAGCCCACUUCCUGGUUCCUGGACGGCUGUGUCCUCACAUGGGGGGUAGAGACCAGAGAUCUCUCCGGGACUCUUUUAUAAGGGCACUAAUCCCAUUCGCGAGGGCUCCACCCUCAUCAUCCAAUCACCUCCCAAAUGUCCCACCUCCUAAUACCAACGUAUGGUGGAUUAGGAUGGGUGGGGGGUGGGGUUCAGGCCACAGUAAGAAUUAAGAAUGCAGGGGCGCCUGGGUUGUGGUUCCACCAUCUCCAACAUGAGGACUGGCCUCAGAAACUGGAGCCGCAAGCCAAAUCACCAGAUCUCCAACCCUGAGAAUCACCUGAGAAUCUUCGAGUCAGUGACCUUCAACAGGUCACAGAGGAGAAACCGGCCAGACGUCAGCACCCUGCUGGGACCUUGACCACAGAGUCGUGUGGGCUCUUGUGAAUUCCAGAACUGACCUUGAAAGUCCAGGAAGCCCCCUAAUUGGGUUUGGGACCCAACAGCCUGGCCGAGGAGCCUGGAGAGACUUGUGCGGUGAGGGCUCACCUAAGCAAGGAACCUGGCAUCAGAAAACAUUGGGUUCAAGUCUUGGCUUACGUCUGACUAGUCAUGUGUCCGGGCUUCUGUAGAAAUGGACACUCCACAUGCGGCAUGAGAUGGUGUGGAGACUUAAGGAAGCUGCUGUUUGGGAGGAUGCUUUGAACUACAGGGCACAAGACAAAUGCUGUACAACUUAAUACGACUCAUCUUGCUUAUGCAGAGCAUUUCCACUUGCUUCCGUUCAAAGUAGGUCACGGCAACUCCUUGCAGCGCUAUUGGGUGGGAUUCUCGCUAGACGAAACCUUCCCUCAGGGUCUCCUCGGAGGCUUCCCCCAUCCAAGUUCUAAGCCUCCCAGCCCCAAAGUCUGGGAGGUUGUGUAGCUCACAGGUUCACCACAUGAUGAUGGCAGGGCCCCACAGACGCUUCUAGGAAGCUUUUCUGGGCACACACCGAAGUCUGGACCCUAUCCCCACCUCUGCCCCAGUCUCCAAAAGUUAGGAUCACCCUCGGCCCUCCGUCUUCUCCCCUCCUCUCCCCAACUCUGGCUUUGGGAUUUCUUGGCAUCAUUAUUUUGCCCCCAGCUUGCUAACUGAAGCUUCUACUGUGAAGCCACUUGUCCCACACCAAGUCCCUCCGUCUCAGUCCCCGCAACGCUGCUUCCCAGAGCUGAACCAGAGUGGGAGGAAAUCAACUAAGAAGAGCACCUGGAUUUCAGGACAGCUGACCUUAAAAACUCUGCGGCGCCUGGGUGGCUCAGUUGGUUAAGCGUUCGACUUCAGCUCAGGUCAUGAUCUCGCGGUUCGCGAGUUGGAGCCCCACAUCGGCGGGCUCUCUGUGGUGACAACUGGAGCCUGGAGCCUGCUUUGGAUUCUGUGUCUCCCUCUCUCUCUGCC